UACGAAGGGGGCUAGCGUUGUUCGGAAUUACUGGGCGUAAAGAGCUCGUAGGCGGUUUGCCGCGUCUGCUGUGAAAUCCCGAGGCUCAACCUCGGGCCUGCAGUGGGUACGGGCAGACUAGAGUGCGGUAGGGGAGAUUGGAAUUCCUGGUGUAGCGGUGGAAUGCGCAGAUAUCAGGAGGAACACCGAUGGCGAAGGCAGAUCUCUGGGCCGUAACUGACGCUGAGGAGCGAAAGCGUGGGGAGCGAACAGG
RNAcentral lists this ribosomal RNA (253 nucleotides) under uncultured bacterium. RNAcentral's name for it is "partial 16S ribosomal RNA". It matches the Rfam family "Bacterial small subunit ribosomal RNA", at positions 524 to 776 of the family's 1533-position model. The record is from RNAcentral.